Molecule: ribosomal RNA, 482 nt
Filed under: uncultured Pseudomonas sp.
Lineage: Bacteria; Pseudomonadati; Pseudomonadota; Gammaproteobacteria; Pseudomonadales; Pseudomonadaceae
Description: bacterial SSU rRNA
Rfam family: Bacterial small subunit ribosomal RNA
Source: RNAcentral
UGAACGCUGGCGGCAGGCCUAACACAUGCAAGUCGAGCGGUAGAGAGAAGCUUGCUUCUCUUGAGAGCGGCGGACGGGUGAGUAAUGCCUAGGAAUCUGCCUAGUGGUGGGGGAUAACGUUCGGAAACGGACGCUAAUACCGCAUACGUCCUACGGGAGAAAGCGGGGGACCUUCGGGCCUCGCGCCAUUAGAUGAGCCUAGGUCGGAUUAGCUAGUUGGUGAGGUAAUGGCUCACCAAGGCGACGAUCCGUAACUGGUCUGAGAGGAUGAUCAGUCACACUGGAACUGAGACACGGUCCAGACUCCUACGGGAGGCAGCAGUGGGGAAUAUUGGACAAUGGGCGAAAGCCUGAUCCAGCCAUGCCGCGUGUGUGAAGAAGGUCUUCGGAUUGUAAAGCACUUUAAGUUGGGAGGAAGGGUAGUAACUUAAUACGUUGCUACUUUGACGUUACCGACAGAAUAAGCACCGGCUAACUUCGUG